RNAcentral lists this microRNA precursor (89 nucleotides) under Olea europaea subsp. europaea. Lineage: Eukaryota; Viridiplantae; Streptophyta; Magnoliopsida; Lamiales; Oleaceae. The record is from RNAcentral.
ACUAAGGUCCCGUGAGUGCAGUCCUCCAUGCGGCCGCAUGGAGUUGUGCCAUGCGGCUGCAUGGAGGACUUCACUCACGGGACCUUAGU